This is a long non-coding RNA of Cydia splendana, 139 nucleotides long. RefSeq lists it as uncharacterized. NCBI's taxonomy places the organism in Eukaryota, Metazoa, Arthropoda, Insecta, Lepidoptera, Tortricidae. The transcript is spliced from 2 exons. The record is from RefSeq and is a predicted model, not a curated record.
CUAGAUCGAUAGUGCUCGUCAAGGAAAAUCUAUUGAGCCCAAACACGAUGGAGUUAUGAUGAGUAGAUUAGGAUAGAUUAGGAUUUCUGGUGACCAACUCCUGACUCCAUCAUGAGAACCUGGACUUCAUCUAGAUCAA